Molecule: long non-coding RNA, 441 nt
Organism: Rhea pennata
Lineage: Eukaryota; Metazoa; Chordata; Aves; Rheiformes; Rheidae
Exons: 3
Source: RefSeq, a predicted model, not a curated record
GGUCGUUCCUCCCGGCCGCCCGGGGCCCUGGGCGGGCGGCGAAGGAGACCUGGCCGCCCCGGCCGGCCCUUAGCCACGCAGGAGGAGCUCUGAAUGUUUCUCCUCUUAAGGCAGACCUGGUACAUCUUCCUCUCUAAUCAGCAGGCUGGGGCUCGGUCGCUGUCGACACGAAUGCCGUGCUCCUAUCCCCUCGGCUGCGCAGAAGUUUCCAAGUGGGAAGAUCAUAAUCCCAAGGAGUGUCAUGGUCAUUAAUUCAGACUGUUUAGGGCUUGCCUCAAGCUAAGCAAUCCCACAGAUAACCUCUCCAGCUCUGAAAACAUCUUGAAACCCUAAGUUGUUUUAACAGCAACACUCUGAAAAUGGAUGAUCUAUGCGAGGAUAUAUAUUAAAAAAAAAAGCUUUCGAACUAAAUCUUUUAUUUCCAGUCUUCUGCCAACCAGC